CGCAUAUCAAUAAGCGGAGGAAAAGAAACCAACAGGGAUUGCCCCAGUAACGGCGAGUGAAGCGGCAAGUACUCAAAUUUGAAAGCAGGCUCCUUCGGGGUCCGCAUUAGUAAUUUGCAGAGGAUGCUUCGGGAGUGGCCCCCAUCUAAGUGCCCUGGAACGGGCUGUCAUAGAGGGUGAGAAUCCCG
RNAcentral lists this ribosomal RNA (188 nucleotides) under Penicillium brocae. RNAcentral describes it as "partial 28S ribosomal RNA". It matches the Rfam family "Eukaryotic large subunit ribosomal RNA", at positions 37 to 223 of the family's 3401-position model. The record is from RNAcentral. Lineage: Eukaryota; Fungi; Ascomycota; Eurotiomycetes; Eurotiales; Aspergillaceae.